GGGACACGUGGUAUCCUGUCUGAAUAUGGGGGGACCAUCCUCCAAGGCUAAAUACUCCUGACUGACCGAUAGUGAACCAGUACCGUGAGGGAAAGGCGAAAAGAACCCCGGCGAGGGGAGUGAAAAAGAACCUGAAACCGUGUACGUACAAGCAGUGGGAGCACAGAGCAAUCUGUGUGACUGCGUACCUUUUGUAUAAUGGGUCAGCGACUUAUAUUCUGUAGCAAGGUUAACCGAAUAGGGGAGCCGAAGGGAAACCGAGUCUUAACUGGGCGUUAAGUUGCAGGGUAUAGACCCGAAACCCGGUGAUCUAGCCAUGGGCAGGUUGAAGGUUGGGUAACACUAACUGGAGGACCGAACCGACUAAUGUUGAAAAAUUAGCGGAUGACUUGUGGCUGGGGGUGAAAGGCCAAUCAAACCGGGAGAUAGCUGGUUCUCCCCGAAAGCUAUUUAGGUAGCGCCUCGUGAAUUCAUCUCCGGGGGUAGAGCACUGUUUCGGCAAGGGGGUCAUCCCGACUUACCAACCCGAUGCAAACUGCGAAUACCGGAGAAUGUUAUCACGGGAGACACACGGCGGGUGCUAACGUCCGUCGUGAAGAGGGAAACAACCCAGACCGCCAGCUAAGGUCCCAAAGUCAUGGUUAAGUGGGAAACGAUGUGGGAAGGCCCAGACAGCCAGGAUGUUGGCUUAGAAGCAGCCAUCAUUUAAAGAAAGCGUAAUAGCUCACUGGUCGAGUCGGCCUGCGCGGAAGAUGUAACGGGGCUAAACCAUGCACCGAAGCUGCGGCAGCGACGCUGAUGCGUUGUUGGGUAGGGGAGCGUUCUGUAAGCCUGCGAAGGUGUGCUGUGAGGCAUGCUGGAGGUAUCAGAAGUGCGAAUGCUGACAUAAGUAACGAUAAAGCGGGUGAAAAGCCCGCUCGCCGGAAGACCAAGGGUUCCUGUCCAACGUUAAUCGGGGCAGGGUGAGUCGACCCCUAAGGCGAGGCCGAAAGGCGUAGUCGAUGGGAAACAGGUUAAUAUUCCUGUACUUGGUGUUACUGCGAAGGGGGGACGGAGAAGGCUAUGUUGGCCGGGCGACGGUUGUCCCGGUUUAAGCGUGUAGGCUGGUUUUCCAGGCAAAUCCGGAAAAC
RNAcentral lists this ribosomal RNA (1130 nucleotides) under Escherichia coli. Its description in RNAcentral is "partial 23S ribosomal RNA". It matches the Rfam family "Bacterial large subunit ribosomal RNA", at positions 419 to 1550 of the family's 2925-position model. The record is from RNAcentral. Lineage: Bacteria; Pseudomonadati; Pseudomonadota; Gammaproteobacteria; Enterobacterales; Enterobacteriaceae.